CCUACGGGGUGCAGCAGUGGGGAAUAUUGCACAAUGGGCGCAAGCCUGAUGCAGCCAUGCCGCGUGUAUGAAGAAGGCCUUCGGGUUGUAAAGUACUUUCAGCGGGGAGGAAGGCGAUAAGGUUAAUAGCCUUGUCGAUUGACCUUACCCGCAGAAGAAGCACCGGCUAACUCCGUGCCAGCAGCCGCGGUGAUACGGAGGGUGCAAGCGUUAAUCGGAAUUACUGGGCGUAAAGCGCACGCAGGCGGUCUGUCAAGUCGGAUGUGAAAUCCCCGGGCUCAACCUGGGAACUGCAUUCGAAACUGGCAGGCUAGAGUCUUGUAGAGGGGGGUAGAAUUCCAGGUGUAGCGGUGAAAUGCGUAGAGAUCUGGAGGAAUACCGGUGGCGAAGGCGGCCCCCUGGACAAAGACUGACGCUCAGGUGCGAAAGCGUGGGGAGCAAACAGGAUUAGAUACCCCCGUAGUC
This 465-nucleotide ribosomal RNA is filed under the name uncultured bacterium. Its description in RNAcentral is "bacterial SSU rRNA". It matches the Rfam family "Bacterial small subunit ribosomal RNA", at positions 338 to 795 of the family's 1533-position model. The record is from RNAcentral.